RNAcentral lists this ribosomal RNA (401 nucleotides) under uncultured bacterium. Its description in RNAcentral is "bacterial SSU rRNA". It matches the Rfam family "Bacterial small subunit ribosomal RNA", at positions 359 to 776 of the family's 1533-position model. The record is from RNAcentral.
GAAUCUUGCGCAAUGGGCGAAAGCCUGACGCAGCAACGCCGCGUGGGGGAUGAAGGCUCUCGGGUUGUAAACCCCUUUCAGCAGGGACGAUUGUGACGGUACCUGCAGAAGAAGGACCGGCCAACUACGUGCCAGAAGCCGCGGUAAUACGUAGGGUCCGAGCGUUGUCCGGAUUCAUUGGGCGUAAAGAGCUCGUAGGCGGCUCAGUAAGUCGGAUGUGAAAACUCAGGGCUCAACCCGGAGACGCCAUCCGAUACUGCUGUGGCUGGAGUCUGGUAGGGGAACACGGAAUACCUGGUGUAGCGGUGAAAUGCGCAGAUAUCAGGUGGAACACCGAUGGCGAAGGCAGUGUUCUGGGCCAGUACUGACGCUGAGGAGCGAAAGCGUGGGGAGCAAACAGG